UCCAUGUCGUAGCCGCUCUAUCGGCAGGUU
Molecule: small RNA, 30 nt
Filed under: Bombyx mori (domestic silkworm)
Lineage: Eukaryota; Metazoa; Arthropoda; Insecta; Lepidoptera; Bombycidae
Description: ovarian small RNA-7234
Source: RNAcentral